UGCUUCCCGGCAGAAGGAGACUGACUGGUUGGCAGGCGACUAGCUUGGAUCCAGUUGUCACUGCAGUCUGGCAGAAGUGGUGGUCUGAAGGUUAAAAUUAGGGAAUACCGCUUUUGUCCCUGGGAUAUUCCAGAUACCCGGUACAAGGAUUAAAAAAAAAAAAAGCAGAAACCAAAUGGAGAUCUGGUGAGGCCUGGGGACACCACUGGAUGAGACCCAAGUGGAGUUUCCUCGUCGCCGCCGCAACCGUCUGGGGGUGAAGCCUUCCGAGGUGGGGGCGGCCGACUGUGGGCCAUCGCGCCCCUCAAAGUCCGAGCACGGGGAAGCCUGGCCCGGAGCCCUGGCUCACACAUCGCUGGGCUCACGGACUCAGCCCGACUGACUGCUGGUGACUGUGCUGCCGGAGAUGCGGCCCUCCUACCCCUUCCCAGCUGCUGGACUCGGGGGAACCCUGGGGGAUAAGGGGGAGGGCAGGCGCACGCUGUUCCAACAGGUAUUUCUC
Tachyglossus aculeatus (Australian echidna) is the source of this 502-nucleotide long non-coding RNA. RefSeq lists it as uncharacterized. NCBI's taxonomy places the organism in Eukaryota, Metazoa, Chordata, Mammalia, Monotremata, Tachyglossidae. The record is from RefSeq and is a predicted model, not a curated record. The transcript has 4 exons.